This 253-nucleotide ribosomal RNA is filed under the name uncultured bacterium. RNAcentral's name for it is "partial 16S ribosomal RNA". It matches the Rfam family "Bacterial small subunit ribosomal RNA", at positions 524 to 776 of the family's 1533-position model. The record is from RNAcentral.
UACAGAGACUGCAAGCGUUAUUCGGAUUCACUGGGCGUAAAGGGUGCGCAGGCGGCCGUGUGUGUGAGGCGUGAAAGCCCGGGGCUUAACCCCGGAAUUGCACCUCAAACUACACGGCUAGAGCAUUGGAGAGGGUAGCAGAAUUCACGGUGUAGCAGUGAAAUGCGUAGAUAUCGUGAGGAAUACCAGAGGCGAAGGCGGCUACCUGGACAGUAACUGACGCUGAGGCGCGAAAGCUAGGGGAGCAAACAGG